This 497-nucleotide ribosomal RNA is filed under the name uncultured bacterium. Its description in RNAcentral is "partial 16S ribosomal RNA". It matches the Rfam family "Bacterial small subunit ribosomal RNA", at positions 28 to 507 of the family's 1533-position model. The record is from RNAcentral.
GAUGAACGCUGGCGGCGUGCCUAAUACAUGCAAGUCGAGCGAACAGACGAUGAGCUUGCUCCUCUGACGUUAGCGGCGGACGGGUGAGUAACACGUGGAUAACCUACCUAUAAUACUGGGAUAACUUCGGGAAACCGGAGCUAAUACCGGAUAAUAUAUUGAACCGCAUGGUUCAAUAGUUAAAGACGGUUUUGCUGUCACUUAUAGAUGUAUCCGCGCCGCAUUAGCUAGUUGGUAAGGUAACGGCUUACCAAGGCAACGAUGCGUAGCCGACCUGAGAGGGUGAUCGGCCACACUGGAACUGAGACACGGUCCAGACUCCUACGGGAGGCAGCAGUAGGGAAUCUUCCGCAAUGGGCGAAAGCUUGACGGAGCAACGCCGCGUGAGUGAUGAAGGUCUUCGGAUCGUAAAACUCUGUUAUUAGGGAAGAACAAAUGUGUAAGUAACUAUGCACGUCUUGACGGUACCUAAUCAGAAAGCCACGGCUAACUACGUG